CCUACGGGAGGCAGCAGUGGGGAAUAUUGGACAAUGGGCGAAAGCCUGAUCCAGCAAUGCCGCGUGAGUGAUGAAGGCCUUAGGGUUGUAAAGCUCUUUUACCAGGGAUGAUAAUGACAGUACCUGGAGAAUAAGCUCCGGCUAACUCCGUGCCAGCAGCCGCGGUAAUACGGAGGGAGCUAGCGUUGUUCGGAAUUACUGGGCGUAAAGCGUGCGUAGGCGGCGAUUCAAGUCAGAGGUGAAAGCCUGGAGCUCAACUCCAGAACUGCCUUUGAAACUAGAUUGCUAGAAUCAUGGAGAGGUGAGUGGAAUUCCGAGUGUAGAGGUGAAAUUCGUAGAUAUUCGGAAGAACACCAGUGGCGAAGGCGGCUCACUGGACAUGUAUUGACGCUGAGGCACGAAAGCGUGGGGAGCAAACAGGAUUAGAUACCCUGGUAGUCCACGCCGUAAACGAUGAUAACUAGCUGCCAGGGCUCAUAGAGNUUGGUGGCGCGAGCUACGACAUUAAGUUAUCCGCCGUCGGGUAGGUACGGUCGCGAGAAGUUAAACGUAACGAAAGAAAGUUAGUACGGACGUGAGACGUAGACCGAACGGACGACGACGAGGGGAGGAGGG
Molecule: ribosomal RNA, 615 nt
Filed under: uncultured bacterium
Lineage: Bacteria
Description: bacterial SSU rRNA
Rfam family: Bacterial small subunit ribosomal RNA (bases 1-518)
Source: RNAcentral